Molecule: ribosomal RNA, 254 nt
Filed under: uncultured bacterium
Lineage: Bacteria
Description: partial 16S ribosomal RNA
Rfam family: Bacterial small subunit ribosomal RNA
Source: RNAcentral
UACAAAGGUCCCAAGCGUUGUUCGGAUUCAUUGGGCGUAAAGGGCGCGUAGGCGGUCAGCACAAGACAGGUGUGAAAUCCCCGGGCUUAACCUGGGAACUGCAUUUGUGACUGCAUAGCUAGAGUACGGUAGAGGGGGAUGGAAUUCCGCGUGUAGCAGUGAAAUGCGUAGAUAUGCGGAGGAACACCAGUGGCGAAGGCGGCUCACUGGCCCGGUACUGACGCUGAGGUGCGAAAGCGUGGGGAGCAAACAGG